GACGAACGCUGGCGGCGUGCUUAACACAUGCAAGUCGAACGAACAGGCCCGGCUCUUGUGGGGUGCUCGUUUGGCGCACGGGUGAGUAACACGUGAGUAACCUGCCCUUGACUGUGUGAUAUCUUCAGGAGACUGGGGCUCAUACCGGAUAUGAGCUCCUGCUGCAUGGUGGUGGUUGGUAAGAUUCGGCGGUUGGGGAUGGACUCGAGGCUUAUCAGCUUGUUGGUGGGGUAGGGGCUUACCAAGGCUGUGAAGGGUAGCCGGCCUGAGAGGGUGACCGGCCACAUGGGGACUGAGAGACGGCCCAGACUCCUACGGGAGGCAGCAGUGGGGAAUAUUGCACAAUGGGCGGAAGCCUGAUGCAGCAACGCCGGGUGCGGGAUGACGGCCUUCGGGUUGUAAACCGAUGUCGCCUGUGACGAGGCGUGAGUGACGGUAAUGGGUAAAGAAGCACCGGCUAACUACGUG
RNAcentral lists this ribosomal RNA (468 nucleotides) under uncultured bacterium. RNAcentral describes it as "partial 16S ribosomal RNA". It matches the Rfam family "Bacterial small subunit ribosomal RNA", at positions 28 to 507 of the family's 1533-position model. The record is from RNAcentral.